Molecule: long non-coding RNA, 1469 nt
Filed under: Lathyrus oleraceus (garden pea)
Lineage: Eukaryota; Viridiplantae; Streptophyta; Magnoliopsida; Fabales; Fabaceae
Description: Pisum sativum (pea) long non-coding RNA (PSAT_LNC004209)
Source: RNAcentral
UCAUUUUUUCAUGAAAGAAUAUGAAAAUUAUUUUGAAACAUAUAAAUAGGGGGUGUAACAUGAUGCAGAGAAGUGGAUUGCAUUUGAUCAAGCCUUCAACAAGGGUUAUACAUCGAAAGGUGCAAUUCAUUUUUUUCAUAAAAGAAUAUGAAAAUUUUGCACCAAUUAAAUUUUUUGCAUGAUGUUAGUAGAAACCUUGGUUUGGUGACUUUUAACAAUUGUUUGUCUUGUACAUGUAUUGAUCGGUAUUUGGGUUAUGAUACUGUAUGGUAAUUGGUAGUUUGUUUGAUUAGGUUUGCUUAUUGUUGUUAAUAACUAUUUUAAAUAUUUUAAUCCUAAAUUUGGAAAUAAUUCAAGAUAACAACGGUGAAGAUGUUGAUUGUGAUAAUGUUGGAGCUACCCAAUUCUACAUGUUUGCUUUUUUGUGUUGGAUGCGCAAGUGCGUUACAAUAAUCAAAGGCUGACUUUUUCAGGUAUGGCAUACUUUUCUUUUUGAUAACAUAUUAUAGAUCUAUUCUAUUUUAAAUAAAACUUAUCUUACAAUGUUUGCAAUUGUUAGAUAUAUGGGUUUUGUUCUUACACAUAUGUCUGUUAAAAUUAUUGAGUCAUAUUUUAGAGUUUUGCUUAUGUACUCUGAUUCAACAAUUUUAGUGUAUGCUCUUUGAAAGAUUUUUAUAUUUAUACUAAUUAGAAGUUGAUGAUUUCAUCAGUGAUUUAAUCUUGCAAUCCAAGGCAAUGUCGAUCCAUAGAUACAUAAUAUUCUUUAUGGAAUUGUUAUGCUACAGGUUUGCUUAUUUAUCUUGGAUGCGCAUAAUGGUUACAAUGUCUUACAAUAAUUAAUGGUGCUUAUAAAAGUGGUGUUUUUAUGCAUGUAUUGUUAUUCAAUAGCCAUCUGUCAUGACAAAAACACCAAAAACCCUUUCCUUUUUACUUCUUUUUGGACCUCUUUCUUUAGGUAUGUGUUACUUUUCUUUUGGAUAAGCUAUUAUAGAUCUAUUCAGUUUCAUCUAUUUCAAACGAUAAUGAUCGUUCAAUAUCCUUUUAGAUCUAUCAUGUCUUAUAAUUUCAAUUGAUAGUUAUCUAUUAUAUCAUGUGUAUCAAUGUGGUUCCUAAUAAGUUGAAUUCUCCAUUUCUUCAUGUACAUUUCAGGUGUGUACAACAAAUUAAUAAAGGCAGCGUUGCAGAUGUAAGUCCGAAGAUUUCAAAGAUAGCCAGGUUUUGUUAUAUAGUGUGAAAAUGUUUCCAAUAAGAAUUUAUAAUUCAAAUGUGUUCUACAUAUUUUUAAGAGUGGUUUUUAUAUGCAUGUAUUGGUUGACUUCUGAAAAAAAAUAUUUUAUUUUAAGGACUGAGUAUUACUAAAAUCGAUUGAAACAUGGAGUUCAUUUUGAUUGUGACAGAGUUGGAUAUACUUAGUCAUGGGGUUCACGGAGGGUGUUUGGGAGGAGUGGUGGCACAGGGCACCAUCUUUU